CAACCCUCAAGCCCUGCUUGGUGUUGGGGCCCCACGGCUGCCGUGGGCCCUGAAAGGAAGUGGCGGGCUCGCUACAACUCCGAGCGUAGUAAUUCAUUAUCUCGCUUAGGGCGUUGGGCGGCGCUCCAGCCGUUAAAGAACCAUCUUUAACUCAA
This 155-nucleotide unclassified non-coding RNA is filed under the name Coniochaeta discospora. Its description in RNAcentral is "partial internal transcribed spacer 2". Lineage: Eukaryota; Fungi; Ascomycota; Sordariomycetes; Coniochaetales; Coniochaetaceae. RNAcentral also lists the same sequence under 1 other name. The record is from RNAcentral.